UGGGGAAUAUUGCACAAUGGGCGGAAGCCUGAUGCAGCAACGCCGCGUGCGGGAUGACGGCCUUCGGGUUGUAAACCGCUUUCGCCUGUGACGAAGCGUGAGUGACGGUAAUGGGUAAAGAAGCACCGGCUAACUACGUGCCAGCAGCCGCGGUGAUACGUAGGGUGCGAGCGUUGUCCGGAUUUAUUGGGCGUAAAGGGCUCGUAGGUGGUUGAUCGCGUCGGAAGUGUAAUCUUGGGGCUUAACCCUGAGCGUGCUUUCGGUACGGGUUGACUUGAGGAAGGUAGGGGAGAAUGGAAUUCCUGGUGGAGCGGUGGAAUGCGCAGAUAUCAGGAGGAACACCAGUGGCGAAGGCGGUUCUCUGGGCCUUUCCUGACGCUGAGGAGCGAAAGCGUGGGGAGCGAACA
Molecule: ribosomal RNA, 407 nt
Filed under: uncultured bacterium
Lineage: Bacteria
Description: partial 16S ribosomal RNA
Rfam family: Bacterial small subunit ribosomal RNA
Source: RNAcentral